AUGCUGCGCAAUGUUUUUGUUGCCAAAGGGAGGAUGUUUUCGUCACCCGCCACAUGUCUGGCACUUGGGCAUUGCCCAUCGUCCGCAUUCCGCAUCAUGUUGCGCAGAUACAAAUCCAGUGCUGAACUAUUCAGGAUAACUAAGGAGGAGACCUCCCAACCACCCGGGAGCGUCCUGAUGUGCUUUGCUGAUGCUGCACAACGGUACUGUACUGGACCUCUGUCCUCUUCAGGGAAACUGUACUCUCGUAUGAAUGUAGGAAGUACUGCCAACUGUAAUGGUAAAUGUGCAAGCUUUCAGAAUAUCCAUGUACUGCUCCUCACUCCUCCUGAAGUAAAUGGUAACCUAACCUCAUGUGUAUCCAGGAAAUAGUGCCCAUUGUAUUGCUAGAAUGCAAGCUGGCAGAAUUUCUCCAUGACGCACCCUCUUUGUUUCAUCACAACCGUUUUGGUUUCUGAAUAGUACAUGUGACCAGGCCACACUCCCUGUUCUCUAUGCUCUCAUUUUUAGAAUGGGACAUGACAUGCACAGUGAAAUUAGAGAAUUAGGACAGUUUCUCUCUCUUUCUCCAACCCGUGACCAAGGUAACCUGUGAUCUCCCUACUUUAAUAACAAGCCGGUCUCAGCCAGGCUAUCGCAUUGCUCUAUAAUCCACAAAUAACGUACCAGUGUUGCACCUCUUCUGGCAGAAUGAAGACAAUUUCAAUGACCUCAGACACAGUAAAAAUACAGAGCGCUGAAGGUGCACUGAGUAACUCCCCCCAGAAGCUGGUUUCCUAUGGUGGUUUAGAUGUGUGUUCCCUGUUCUAGCACCAUAUGAAAUCAGUGUUCUGGGAGGCAGAUUAGCAGCUCAUGGAAACAGACCAAAUCAUAGUUUACACGUAUAUGAUAUAUAAUGAUGUAUGGUGUAUAUGGUAAGUACAACUGCAUGAAGUGUUUCAUUGCAAUUUUGCAAUAAAGUUAUUUCUGUCUUGAUAACUAUGUUAUUCGUUUGGCUACUUUCUGUAUAACCUCUAAAGUUAUUAAAGUGAACAAAUUAUACCAUCAG
Molecule: long non-coding RNA, 1048 nt
Filed under: Salmo trutta (river trout)
Lineage: Eukaryota; Metazoa; Chordata; Actinopteri; Salmoniformes; Salmonidae
Description: lncRNA (ENSSTUG00000014117.1)
Rfam family: mir-29 microRNA precursor family (bases 764-832)
Source: RNAcentral